CCUACGGGAGGCAGCAGUGGGGAAUAUUGCGCAAUGGGCGAAAGCCUGACGCAGCGACGCCGCGUGAGGGAUGACGGUCUUCGGAUCGUAAACCUCUGUUAGCAGGGAAGAAAGGUCACUGUGCUAAUCAGCAGUGAAUUGACGGUACCUGCAAAGGAAGCAUCGGCUAACUCCGUGCCAGCAGCCGCGGUAAUACGGAGGGUGCGAGCGUUAAUCGGAAUUACUGGGCGUAAAGCGCUCGUAGGCGGUAUGUCAAGUGAAGGGUGAAAUCCCCGGGCUCAACGUGGGAACUGCCUUUGAGACUGGCAGACUAGAGUGUAGGAGAGGAUGGUGGAAUUCCAGGUGUAGGAGUGAAAUGCGUAGAUAUC
This 368-nucleotide ribosomal RNA is filed under the name uncultured bacterium. RNAcentral's name for it is "partial 16S ribosomal RNA". It matches the Rfam family "Bacterial small subunit ribosomal RNA", at positions 338 to 698 of the family's 1533-position model. The record is from RNAcentral.